UUUUUAUUUUUUUUUACUCAAACCAUAAAUAAGCUUAGAUAUCUCAGCCAAUCACUGGCUUCCCAUAGCUUGUGCAUGCUUCUUAUAGGGACAUUCGCAACGAAAACACACCUGUACAAGUGAAUGAAGGCCUUUAGAUGUUCUAUACCUGCUGCUUUCUUGCACGCAUAUUCAUUUAUUUUAUCGUGAGCUUUAAUACGCAUCACAUUUGUUCAGGUGCCGGGCAUGUGCCUUUAAUAACACUCACACAAAUGUAAACAAAUUGCAAGAUGAUGAGCAAAUCUUAUUGAUUUUCUCGGUGAAAAAAUGUAGCUUCAAGAAACUGAAAUAGGACUUCCAAGGUAUUUACAAACGUGAGUUAGUGAAUUUCAAAUUCAAGGCUAGAGUAUCUGAACUGAAAACUUGGCUGAAUUGGGUAAUUUUUACAUUUCGGCUAUUUUAGACUUACGUUUGAAAUUCACUUUGAAUUCUCACUUGAGUGAAUAUCCCAGUUUAUCUCUCAUCCAAUGUCUUUUGAGGUGUGUAUACGAUACGUUCCCCAUAAAGCUUUUGUCACAGGCCUCAAAUUGUUAUUUUCCGAUCUUACUCUGGGUAGGAGUGGGUGAACAGGCAUUAUCUGUAUUUGCUUUUGACCCUUGUGUGUAUCAGCUGGAAGAUUUUUUUUAAACCUCAGGGCAUGGUGGAAUGCUGUAUGUAUGUAUGUACUAAGAGAAAAAUGUGUAGCAGUCAGCCUGAGAGUGUUCAUACCUUUCUCAACCCAAACACUGCAUGCUAGCUGUUUUGCCAAUGAACUGUAUAAAUCCCCACUGAUUAAAGAGUUAGGUGUUCUGAAGGGGCAACUCUUCUUUGAGGAAACUUUUCUUUGUCUAUGUUAUUAAUGUUAUGGAACAUUAUCUUAGUAAAUAUCAGGAUGUUUCAUAUUUUCAUAGGAACAUUUUAUGUUCCCCCCCCACACUCCUCAAAUAUUAAAAUCCUGUGAGGAUACGUUACAUAAACAUAUUAUUUUUCUUUAAAAGGAUUUUCAUAUUCCAUGUUUACACUUUUACUCGCCUUUAAGUGGAAGUCCUAAAUAAUAUCUUGUGCAGCUGUAAUGUUUUUUUUCUUUUAAUUCAUUUAUUGAAUUCUGGAAAUCUUGACAACACACCCAGUAAUUCGGCUUUCCCAACUGCUCCGCUAAUGAGCACACAAUCUUGCUGUGAGCAGAUGGAUGUAGCCUAACUUGAAAACUGUUAGACUGACCUGAUAUGGUGAGUUAAUGUCGAAUUGGCAGAACAGAACCAAAACACAAAUGGUAUCCUAUAUUCGUUAAAUGUAUAGUCCCAAUAAUCCUAAAACAUCAAUGAUGUAGUGCUCAAUUUCUGUUGAACAAACCAAAUUACCAAUAAAUGUACAGAAAAUUUUUAUUUUACUUUAUGUACUUACCAGUAUAGUGCCAAAUGUGCCAAGCCACCUAUUUCAGUAGAACUGUACAUGUGGUGCUAUAAGGAUGGAAACAGUUGUGCAAUCCAUCCGGUUCAACUGACACAUUUACAGCCAUUCUUAAUUUAUCCACUGGACCUCUUGGAAUAGGCACACAGGCCUGCCAGUAUACCUUUUACAUCACACAAUUAAGGAUGUUUUUACCAGCAUAAUAUAUAGAUUAUACUACGUACCAAUGUAAAAAUUGACAAUCAUCCAUAUGUUUUGUGAAUAACAGGACCUUUAAGACUUCUACAUAUGCACUGAAUUGUGCAUAAAAGUCUUAGACUUAAAGGCGCAUAUGUAUUUGCCAAGUGACAUGCUAUAUACUUCAUUAAUUAGUGCCAAUUAAAUACCAUAGAACAACUCCCUGCCCUCCCAGCCAAAUGAAUCAUUAUUGCUAAUACAAUAUAACAAUGCUGUCUUCUCAGAGUCUGUAUCCCAUGCUAAUGUAUUUCAUUAUAUUUAAGAAAUAGAACUAUCUCAGAUGUCUGGGAUUAGCAUACACAAUGUUGUAUGUUAUCUUUAUUCUUGGAAGAAUGAUAAUUAUUCAGCUCAUAAUAAAAUAUUCCGUGUUUUAGUUACACUUAAUAUAAUAAUUUAUCAUUAAUAUGUUAUUUUAAAAUGCAUUUUCUUUGGGUUGAAAAGUGCUGAAUACUCUCACACACAAAAAAAGGGGCUCAACUUAAUUUAUUUUGCUAAAGUUUCACUUUAUUUUAGUGUAUUUGUAGUUCACUUUUGAACAAAGCCACAAUUCUGUGCACACUUUUCUUGUCUCUGAUCAGAUAUUACUGUGAUUGCACUCAAAAUGCUGCAUUAUUAUUAUUAUUAUUAUUAUAACCGUGUACGUCUCAGAAACACCAUUGAUAUAAUUGCAGGUAAUCUGUGCUGUUGGAAAUUUUACGGGUGUUUUGGGUUUCUUUUUCUCAGUUUUGAAUGAUAGUUAUUUUUAUGUGGUGCCUGUGUUCUUCUAGAAAGAACACCAUGUUUGAUGGAGUCAGUACAGUUUUGGCAGUAUUGGAUGUUACAGAAAAAUAUCUGUUUUGUACGUGUAUCCGCUGCCUACAUUGUUAGUUUUAGUUGGUGUGUUUUUUUGUUUGUUUUUGGUUAUGGUCAUUGAUUUGUCCUUUGAAAAUUGACACUUACUUAAGAGGUGCUGGUAAUGCCAUGCAUCAUAAUAUAGAUGCAUACGUAUAGAAGAAUUAUCUUAAACGGGUUCAAUGAUCGGAGUAGCACAUGCUACCAUUCUUGUAGCCUCAAACUGCUGUAUACAGCUUGAAUCUGAUAUUUCUUAAUUGUCAUGUCGUUUUUGUCGUUAAAAUAGGGAUUGUUUUUGUGUCUGGCAUUUGCACCAGUCUUUUAUGAUCUGAAAAAAGGAUGCCUGUAACACCCUAACAUUUCACAGCACUGGGUUUGUGAUGGUUCACAAAGGUCCAUUAAUAGUUAAUGCCAUAUGAGACAUGGUAAGCCAUAAUGGAACCUUAAUGGAUAAGGGCAAACAAAUGUGUACCACUCAUUACUGCUGCAAUAGUGAACCAUUGUUGGUUGUUAAUGUAUCGAAGGCCUGACCUAGGUGCCAAUAUUUAGAGUUCCAUGCAAAUGGAAGUGAAGGAUUGUUGCACACUUUAAUACAUAUAGGCCUGAUUCUCUCUUGCAGAGAUGUCACAAACCAUAUUUGUUUUAUUAUUUUUCUUAAUAAAAAUACUUUAUCUUUUUG
Molecule: non-coding RNA, 3175 nt
Organism: Pelobates cultripes (western spadefoot toad)
Lineage: Eukaryota; Metazoa; Chordata; Amphibia; Anura; Pelobatidae
Source: the annotation of a GenBank genome assembly